RNAcentral lists this ribosomal RNA (497 nucleotides) under uncultured bacterium. RNAcentral's name for it is "partial 16S ribosomal RNA". It matches the Rfam family "Bacterial small subunit ribosomal RNA", at positions 28 to 507 of the family's 1533-position model. The record is from RNAcentral.
GACGAACGCUGGCGGCGUGCCUAAUACAUGCAAGUAGAACGCUGAAGCGAGGAGUUUGCUCUUCUUGGAUGAGUUGCGAACGGGUGAGUAACGCGUGGGUAACCUCCCUUGUAGCGGGGGAUAACUAUUGGAAACGAUAGCUAAUACCGCAUAACAAUGGAUUACACUUGUCAUUUAUUUGAAAGGGGCAAUUGCUCCACGACAAGAUGGACCUGCGUUGUAUUAGGUAGUAGGUGAGGUAAUGGCUCACCUAGGCGACGAUACAUAGCCGACCUGAGAGGAUGAUCAGCCACACUGGGACUGAGACACGGCACAGACGCCUACGGGAGGGAGCAGUAGGGAAUCUUCGGAAAUGGGGGCAACGCUGACCGAGCAGCGCCGCGGGAGUGAAGAAGGGUUUCGGAUCGUAAAGGUCGGUUGUAUGUGAAGAACGGGGGUGAGAGUGGAAAGUGCACACUGUGACGGUAGCUGACAAGAAAGGGCCGGCUAACUACGUG